GCAGAACGCGAAGAACCUUACCAGCCCUUGACAUCCCGGUCGCGGGAUCGAGAGAUCGAUCCUUUCAGUUCGGCUGGACCGGUGACAGGUGCUGCAUGGCUGUCGUCAGCUCGUGUCGUGAGAUGUUGGGUUAAGUCCCGCAACGAGCGCAACCCUCGCCCUUAGUUGCCAUCAUUCAGUUGGGCACUCUAAGGGGACUGCCGGUGAUAAGCCGAGAGGAAGGUGGGAUGACGUCAAGUCCUCAUGGCCCGUUACGGGCGUGGGCUACACACGUGCUACAAUGGUGGUGACAGUGGGCAGCGAGACCGCGAGGUCGAGCUAAUCUACCAAAAGCCAUCUCAGUUCGGAUUGCACUCUGCAACUCGAGUGCAUGAAGUUGGAAUCGCUAGUAAUCGUGGAUCAGCAUGCCACGGUGAAUACGUUCCCGGGUCUUGUACAC
RNAcentral lists this ribosomal RNA (439 nucleotides) under uncultured bacterium. Its description in RNAcentral is "bacterial SSU rRNA". It matches the Rfam family "Bacterial small subunit ribosomal RNA", at positions 954 to 1388 of the family's 1533-position model. The record is from RNAcentral.